GAUCUUAGGGACAAAAUUGGGGUCUUACAGAUGCCCCUAUUUAAGGUCAUUCUAGCCGGAGAAGUGAAGGUUAAAAUCUUAAUCUCGACGCGGUAGAAUGGGCUUAAAUAACAAUAAUGAGACAAAUUUUGGUCCCUAAGAGACCUCAUGAUGCAAAUGUAUGUAUGCAAAAGAAAUUAUCUCUGUGGGGAAUACCGGUCCACAAAGAAAGACGAUCCAUCGGAGUAAUACACUCACCAGGAACAGAGACUCUAACAGGAUUCUCACGGGGAUAAGAAAA
RNAcentral lists this long non-coding RNA (280 nucleotides) under Lathyrus oleraceus (garden pea). RNAcentral's name for it is "Pisum sativum (pea) long non-coding RNA (PSAT_LNC032973)". The record is from RNAcentral. Lineage: Eukaryota; Viridiplantae; Streptophyta; Magnoliopsida; Fabales; Fabaceae.